RNAcentral lists this ribosomal RNA (278 nucleotides) under uncultured bacterium. RNAcentral describes it as "partial 16S ribosomal RNA". It matches the Rfam family "Bacterial small subunit ribosomal RNA", at positions 1105 to 1382 of the family's 1533-position model. The record is from RNAcentral.
UUGCCUCCUGUUGCUAACGAGUAAAGUCGAGCACUCUGGAGAGACUGCCGGUGAUAAACCGGAGGAAGGUGGGGAUGACGUCAAGUCCUCAUGGCCUUUAUGCCCCGGGCUACACACGUGCUACAAUGGCUGGUACAAAGGGUCGCAAAACCGCGAGGUGGAGCUAAUCCCAAAAAGCCAGUCCCAGUUCGGAUUGUAGUCUGCAACUCGACUGCAUGAAGUUGGAAUCGCUAGUAAUCGCGGAUCAGCACGCCGCGGUGAAUACGUUCCCGGGCCUU